CCUUACAAAAUAACACCUCCCAGGACACCUACCUCUUCAAUAGUUUUUAACCACGCUGCAGCUGCACGAGAAAAUCCAUUCAUCAAUUAUAAAUCAAUUGAGGAAGAGAAAUCUGCAGCUCGCUUGAUUGCCCUUGUUGUCCCUGCAACUCACUGAUCCAGCUACAGAAACUUUCCAGCCUGCCAGAAAACAUUACAAACUUGGUCGUGUUUUGAAGCAGCUCACACAAGCCUCGCCAAAUUUGCAGACCUCUCUUUUGCAUCAGCCACCCGCGGCUCGGUACUUAAUGAAGGAGUCCGGAGGUGGAGAUGAAUUAUCCAAGUUCCUAAGCGGCCGGCGGCUCCGACAAGGACCUCUCUCCCCGCGUUACUCCUCAUUCCCAUCCCGGCUUUGCGGCCCCGCCACUCUCCCCCCGCACCCCGGUUGGGGUUUACACGCGCUCGCGGGGCUCCGCGCUCUCUCCGAUGUCAACGAGGUGAACCCGGGAGCCCGCUAGGGCUGUACCCACACAAAUCACUGCGUGUAAGCGUCCCUCGGGGCUAUUUGCGGCUGGGACGAAAGACACUUAAAGAAAUGAGAGAUGUAGCAGGGGUCCCUCACUGGACCGAAGGGACUGCGUCGUUUAUCGGCCUCGGCAGAAGUAGUUAUAUGCCUAUAAAUCUGCGUUCGGCAACACCGAUCGCGGAAGCAGAUUCAUAAGACUUCAAAUUAACCGUUUCUAUCUUUAGGGCUGGGGGGAAGGAAAUGAAGGGGCGGGGGGGUCGAAAAGAGAAAGGUGUUUUUUUGGAAAUGAGAGGUCCCCGUUAGUUAGCGGGUGCUCACACCUAUUACGGACUCCUUCCCAUAAGCUUGCGUAACAUUGAUUACUCACAAAGAGUUCACAAUAACUAUCAUGUAGCUAAACUAAUUGAGACAAUCAUGCUAAGUUAUAGCCAGUCUAAAAGGUACCAUUGAUGUGGUAAUGCCUAUAGAAAGUCAGACAUGCGACUCACUACCAUUUAAUUGCUCCUUUAAACCUGUUAUUACAAUGUUAACUGGCUUAAGUAUAUAUUGCUGCCUUUUAUUGCCUUGAUGUGACAAAUUAAAACAUACACUCUGGAA
This is a long non-coding RNA of Gallus gallus (chicken), 1101 nucleotides long. RefSeq lists it as uncharacterized. The transcript has 2 exons. The record is from RefSeq and is a predicted model, not a curated record. Lineage: Eukaryota; Metazoa; Chordata; Aves; Galliformes; Phasianidae.